Molecule: ribosomal RNA, 253 nt
Filed under: uncultured bacterium
Lineage: Bacteria
Description: partial 16S ribosomal RNA
Rfam family: Bacterial small subunit ribosomal RNA
Source: RNAcentral
UACGGGGGGGGCAAGCGUUGUUCGGAAUUACUGGGCGUAAAGGGCUCGUAGGCGGCCAACUAAGUCAGACGUGAAAUCCCUCGGCUUAACCGGGGAACUGCGUCUGAUACUGGAUGGCUUGAGUUUGGGAGAGGGAUGCGGAAUUCCAGGUGUAGCGGUGAAAUGCGUAGAUAUCAGGAGGAACACCGGUGGCGAAGGCGGGUCUCUGGGCCGAAACUGACGCUGAGGAGCGAAAGCGUGGGGAGCGAACAGG